RNAcentral lists this small RNA (375 nucleotides) under Histoplasma capsulatum var. duboisii H88. RNAcentral's name for it is "Histoplasma capsulatum H88 hypothetical RNA". The record is from RNAcentral. Lineage: Eukaryota; Fungi; Ascomycota; Eurotiomycetes; Onygenales; Ajellomycetaceae.
UAGGCACCCCUAAAUUCCGGGGAAUGAAUUUAAAAACUAUCCGAUUAGGACACCCCGGGCCUAGCGAGGACCUAGGUGAGACGAGGCCUAGGCGCCCUUAAUAGGUGGUUAGUGCAAGCAACGCCGUGACGGCCAAUUGGUAGGCUGGAAUGCCGAGAUUGGCAGCCGGAAGGUUGGGGGAUUUAACUAGAAUUGGGUAGCUCUGGUGUUAUUCUUAGUGAGGAUCCCACUUAGGUAGGCUAGUUAAGGAACCCGGGUGGGCGGCGGCACUCUAGGGGGAAUGAUAACCCCUAAUGGUGGCCCAAGAGGACAGAGGCGGCGGCUGGUUAUAUAGGGUGUUAAAAUAUGUAUAUAGCUCAAGGUGUAAACUGCAGG